This is a long non-coding RNA of Sapajus apella (tufted capuchin), 540 nucleotides long. RefSeq lists it as uncharacterized. The transcript is spliced from 2 exons. NCBI's taxonomy places the organism in Eukaryota, Metazoa, Chordata, Mammalia, Primates, Cebidae. The record is from RefSeq and is a predicted model, not a curated record.
AUGUGGGAGCAGGAGGCCUUUUCAACAUUUGGCCUCAUCUUGAUGGUGAGCCUCCGGAUCAGAAAUGCAUUGACUGGUGGAUCAGGAAACCAUGCCAGGCUGUUUCAUUACAGAGAAAACAUGAGAGCUUUCAGUAGAACAGGGACCCACACACAGACAUUCAUGUCCCUGUGCACAUUGGGCUGACUGUGCUUGCAGAGUGUGAAACGGGAAAUAUCUGAACGAACACAUCUGUACUUGCAGAAAAUGACCAAGAUGAGGAUAAAGAUGUUCAUGUCGCAGAGGCUGAGCAAAGACAGGAGUCACGUGUCCCCAGGCUCAUCAGGGAGGUGCCAAAGGUUGGUGUCAAGAGAGUCCUUGAAGACUCACCGGAGGAAUGUGUCAUCACUCGUUCAGAUAGCUAUGGCCCUUCUGACUCCAGCCAGCCUCACGGAAACACCAAUGAAAUCACAUUUCAGGAAGACAAAGUAAACUCUGCACUGGUUGUCGAGAGUCCAUCAUCUCAUGAUGUAGUGGAGGAUGCUCUAAUCAUUCUUUCAG